UACAGAGGUCCCAAGCGUUGUUCGGAUUCACUGGGCGUAAAGGGUGCGUAGGCGGUCGGGUAAGUCUGAUGUGAAAUCUCACAGCUUAACUGUGAAACUGCAUUGGAUACUAUUCGGCUUGAGAGUUGGAGGGGGGACUGGAAUUCUUGGUGUAGCAGUGAAAUGCGUAGAUAUUGGGAAGAACACCGGUGGCGAAGGCGGCGACCUGGUCCUUUACUGACGCUGAGGCGCGAAAGCGUGGGGAGCAAACAGG
RNAcentral lists this ribosomal RNA (253 nucleotides) under uncultured bacterium. Its description in RNAcentral is "partial 16S ribosomal RNA". It matches the Rfam family "Bacterial small subunit ribosomal RNA", at positions 524 to 776 of the family's 1533-position model. The record is from RNAcentral.